GACGAACGCUGGCGGCGUGCUUAACACAUGCAAGUCGAACGGAAAGGCCCCAGCUUGCUGGGGUACUCGAGUGGCGAACGGGUGAGUAACACGUGGGUGAUCUGCCCUGCACUCUGGGAUAAGCCUGGGAAACUGGGUCUAAUACCGGAUAGGACCGUGCUUUAGUGUGUGCGGUGGAAAGUUUUUCGGUGCAGGAUGAGCCCGCGGCCUAUCAGCUUGUUGGUGGGGUAAUGGCCUACCAAGGCGGCGACGGGUAGCCGGCCUGAGAGGGUGUACGGCCACAUUGGGACUGAGACACGGCCCAGACUCCUACGGGAGGCAGCAGUGGGGAAUAUUGCACAAUGGGCGCAAGCCUGAUGCAGCGACGCCGCGUGGGGGAUGACGGCCUUCGGGUUGUAAACCACUUUCGGCAGGGACGAAGCUUUUGUGACGGUACCUGCAUAAGAAGCACCGGCUAACUACGUG
This 465-nucleotide ribosomal RNA is filed under the name uncultured bacterium. Its description in RNAcentral is "partial 16S ribosomal RNA". It matches the Rfam family "Bacterial small subunit ribosomal RNA", at positions 28 to 507 of the family's 1533-position model. The record is from RNAcentral.